GAGCGUGAAUUGAGUAUGUAGAGGAAGUAAAAGUCGUAAGAAGGUUUCCGUAGGUGAACCUGCGGAAGGAGUCAUUA
Molecule: ribosomal RNA, 77 nt
Filed under: Mus musculus (house mouse)
Lineage: Eukaryota; Metazoa; Chordata; Mammalia; Rodentia; Muridae
Description: partial ribosomal RNA
Rfam family: Eukaryotic small subunit ribosomal RNA
Source: RNAcentral